This 460-nucleotide ribosomal RNA is filed under the name uncultured bacterium. RNAcentral describes it as "partial 16S ribosomal RNA". It matches the Rfam family "Bacterial small subunit ribosomal RNA", at positions 338 to 795 of the family's 1533-position model. The record is from RNAcentral.
CCUACGGGAGGCAGCAGUGAGGAAUAUUGGUCAAUGGGCGCGAGCCUGAACCAGCCAAGUCGCGUGAGGGAUGAAGGUCCUAUGGAUCGUAAACCUCUUUUAUAAGGGACUACAGUGUGGGACGUGUCCUAUUUUGUAUGUACCUUAUGAAUAAUGAUCAGCUAACUCCGUGCCCGCAGCCGCGGUAAUACGGAGGAUCCGAGCGUUAUCCGGAUUUAUUGGGUUUAAAGGUUGCGUAGGUGGCAUUUUAAGGUAGGGGGGAAAGUCUGUGGGUCAACCCUAGAAGUGCAGUUGAAACUGGGGGGCUUGAGUAUGAGUGAGGCAGGAGGAAUGCGUGGUGUAGCGGUGAAAUGCUUAGAUAUCACGCAGAACCCCGAUUGCGAAGGCAGCCUGCCAAGGCAUGACUGACGCUGAUGCACGAAAGCGUGGGGAUCAAACAGGAUUAGAUACCCGAGUAGUC